This 497-nucleotide ribosomal RNA is filed under the name uncultured bacterium. Its description in RNAcentral is "partial 16S ribosomal RNA". It matches the Rfam family "Bacterial small subunit ribosomal RNA", at positions 28 to 507 of the family's 1533-position model. The record is from RNAcentral.
GAUGAACGCUGGCGGCGUGCCUAAUACAUGCAAGUCGAGCGAACAGACGAGGAGCUUGCUCCUCUGACGUUAGCGGCGGACGGGUGAGUAACACGUGGAUAACCUACUUAUAAGACUGGGAUAACUUCGGGAAACCGGAGCUAAUACCGGAUAAUAUAUUGAACCGCAUGGAUCAAGAGUGAAAGACGGCUUUGCCGUCACUUAUAGAUGGAUCCGCGCCGCAUUAGCUAGUUGGUAAGGUAACGGCUUACCAAGGCAACGAUGCGUAGCCGACCUGAGAGGGUGAUCGGCCACACUGGAACUGAGACACGGUCCAGACUCCUACGGGAGGCAGCAGUAGGGAAUCUUCCGCAAUGGGCGAAAGCCUGACGGAGCAACGCCGCGUGAGUGAUGAAGGUCUUCGGAUCGUAAAGCUCUGUUAUUAGGGAAGAACAGAUGUGUAAGUAACUAUGCACGUCUUGACGGUACCUAAUCAGAAAGCCACGGCUAACUACGUG